This 77-nucleotide transfer RNA is filed under the name bacterium. Its description in RNAcentral is "tRNA-Met". It matches the Rfam family "tRNA". From Rfam's summary of the family: Transfer RNA (tRNA) molecules are approximately 80 nucleotides in length. Their secondary structure includes four short double-helical elements and three loops (D, anti-codon, and T loops). The record is from RNAcentral. RNAcentral also lists the same sequence under 4 other names.
GGCGGAGUAGCUCAGUUGGUUAGAGCAGCGGAAUCAUAAUCCGCGUGUCGGGAGUUCAAAUCUCUCCUCCGCUACCA